Molecule: transfer RNA, 66 nt
Filed under: Modiolus modiolus (northern horsemussel)
Lineage: Eukaryota; Metazoa; Mollusca; Bivalvia; Mytilida; Modiolidae
Description: tRNA-Ser
Source: RNAcentral
UGAGAAAGAAGGUUCAUAAUGGAGCUGCUAACUUCGUUUUAAAGAGUUCAAUCUCUUUUUUCUUAU